RNAcentral lists this ribosomal RNA (500 nucleotides) under uncultured Glomeromycotina. RNAcentral describes it as "partial small subunit ribosomal RNA". It matches the Rfam family "Eukaryotic small subunit ribosomal RNA", at positions 591 to 1092 of the family's 1831-position model. The record is from RNAcentral. Lineage: Eukaryota; Fungi; Glomeromycota.
CCAAUAGCGUAUAUUAAAGUUGUUGCAGUUAAAAAGCUCGUAGUUGAAUUUCGGGGUCAGUAAGUUGGUCGUGCCACUGGUAUGUACUGGCUUUACUGAUUCCUCCUUCUUGUAGAACCGUAAUGCCAUUAAGUUGGUGUUGCGGGGAAACAGGACUGUUACUUUGAAAAAAUUAGAGUGUUUAAAGCAAGCUAACGCUUGAAUACAUUAGCAUGGAAUAAUGAAAUAGGACGCUCGAUCCUAUUUUGUUGGUUUCUAGGAUUGACGUAAUGAUUAAUAGGGAUAGUUGGGGGCAUUAGUAUUCAAUUGUCAGAGGUGAAAUUCUUGGAUUUAUUGAAGACUAACUACUGCGAAAGCAUUUGCCAAGGAUGUUUUCAUUAAUCAAGAACGAAAGUUAGGGGAUCGAAGACGAUCAGAUACCGUCGUAGUCUUAACCAUAAACUAUGCCGACUAGGGAUCGGAUGAUGUUAAUUUUUUAAUGACUCAUUCGGCGCCUUACG